GUGGGGAAUAUUGGACAAUGGGGGGAACCCUGAUCCAGCCAUGCCGCGUGUGUGAAGAAGGCCUUUUGGUUGUAAAGCACUUUAAGUGGGGAGGAGGCUUACCUAGUUAAUACCUGGGCUAAGUGGACGUUACCCACAGAAUAAGCACCGGCUAACUCUGUGCCAGCAGCCGCGGUAAUACAGAGGGUGCGAGCGUUAAUCGGAUUUACUGGGCGUAAAGCGCGCGUAGGUGGUUAAUUAAGUCAAAUGUGAAAUCCCCGAGCUUAACUUGGGAAUUGCAUUCGAUACUGGGUAGCUAGAGUAUGGGAGAGGAUGGUAGAAUUCCAGGUGUAGCGGUGAAAUGCGUAGAGAUCUGGAGGAAUACCGAUGGCGAAGGCAGCCAUCUGGCCUAAUACUGACACUGAGGUGCGAAAGCAUGGGGAGCAAACAGGAUUAGAAACCCGUGUAGUCC
Molecule: ribosomal RNA, 451 nt
Filed under: uncultured bacterium
Lineage: Bacteria
Description: partial 16S ribosomal RNA
Rfam family: Bacterial small subunit ribosomal RNA
Source: RNAcentral